Molecule: ribosomal RNA, 62 nt
Filed under: Oscillospiraceae bacterium
Lineage: Bacteria; Bacillati; Bacillota; Clostridia; Eubacteriales; Oscillospiraceae
Description: partial 23S ribosomal RNA
Source: RNAcentral
CGUAGGUGUAAGCACAGUAAUGUGUUCAGCUGAACGAUACUAAUAGACCGAGGGCUUGAACU